RNAcentral lists this unclassified non-coding RNA (347 nucleotides) under soil metagenome. RNAcentral's name for it is "partial contains 5.8S ribosomal RNA, internal transcribed spacer 2, and large subunit ribosomal RNA". The stretch from base 1 to 120 matches the Rfam family "5.8S ribosomal RNA", at positions 35 to 154 of the family's 154-position model. The record is from RNAcentral.
GAUGAAGAACGUAGCGAAAUGCGAUAAUUAAUGUGAAUUGCAGAAUUCAGUGAAUCAUCGAGUCUUUGAACGCACAUUGCGCCCCCUGGUAUUCCGGGGGGCAUGCCUGUCCGAGCGUCAUUGCUGCCCUCAAGCACGGCUUGUGUGUUGGGCUUCCGUCCCUGGCAACGGGGACGGGCCCAAAAGGCAGUGGCGGCACCAUGUCUGGUCCUCGAGCGUAUGGGGCUUUGUCACCCGCUCCCGUAGGUCCAGCUGGCAGCUAGCCUCGCAACCAAUCUUUUUAACCAGGUUGACCUCGGAUCAGGUAGGGAUACCCGCUGAACUUAAGCAUAUCAAUAAGCGGAGGA